This 401-nucleotide unclassified non-coding RNA is filed under the name Hevea brasiliensis (rubber tree). The record is from RNAcentral. Lineage: Eukaryota; Viridiplantae; Streptophyta; Magnoliopsida; Malpighiales; Euphorbiaceae.
GCUAUGCAAACGGGGGUGUUACAUCUUCAAUUCUUAACUCAAUUCUUGAAAAUUAAACCUAAUUUCAAAAAAAGAAGUGAAAAGGAAGAUAGAUGAUGCACUUACCUCUUAUGGAGUUCUUCCAAUAUUUUAACCUUCAAGCUUCUCCUUCUUUCUUUGCUACUAAUCUUCUAUUAUAGGGUGAAUUAGAGGAUUUUUUUUUCUGAUUUGGGAUAUUAAUUGGAAGAGAAAGAAGUGAUUUGGAGCUAGGGAAUUUUAAGAAUGGAGGUAUGGAGAGAGAGAUGAUGAUGGCCGGCUAAUUACUUGGAGAAGAUGAGAUUUUUUUUUCUUUUUAAUUUUGUCUCUUUUAUAAGAUAAUUAUCCCCAAUUUUCAUAAAUUAAAAUUAUAAAUUUAAUUAGGU